UACAGAGGUCCCAAGCGUUGUUCGGAUUCAUUGGGCGUAAAGGGUGCGUAGGCGGCGCGGUAAGUCGGGUGUGAAAUCUCGGAGCUUAACUCCGAAACUGCAUUCGAUACUGCCGUGCUUGAGGACUGGAGAGGAGACUGGAAUUUACGGUGUAGCGGUGAAAUGCGUAGAUAUCGUAAGGAAGACCAGUGGCGAAGGCGGGUCUCUGGACAGUUCCUGACGCUGAGGCACGAAAGCCAGGGGAGCAAACGGG
RNAcentral lists this ribosomal RNA (253 nucleotides) under uncultured bacterium. RNAcentral's name for it is "partial 16S ribosomal RNA". It matches the Rfam family "Bacterial small subunit ribosomal RNA", at positions 524 to 776 of the family's 1533-position model. The record is from RNAcentral.